CCGCACCCCAGCUGCUCCCCUGCAUGACUGGAGUCAUCAGGUGUCUGCUCCUCCUAGUUACGUCACUCAGUGUAACCCCCAAGCUCCACCCACGUGGUUGCAAAUAGCAACUCAAUGGAAUUGUUGAGAUGAACGAGGGUUUCUAAGCUGGGAGAUAAUGAGCGAAGAGAAGGACCGACCUGCCCGUUGGAGGACAAAUUGGGAAGCAGGAGAAG
Long non-coding RNA from Talpa occidentalis (Iberian mole), 215 nucleotides. RefSeq lists it as uncharacterized. NCBI's taxonomy places the organism in Eukaryota, Metazoa, Chordata, Mammalia, Eulipotyphla, Talpidae. The record is from RefSeq and is a predicted model, not a curated record. The transcript is spliced from 3 exons.